RNAcentral lists this long non-coding RNA (1208 nucleotides) under Setaria italica (foxtail millet). RNAcentral's name for it is "long non-coding RNA (SITA_LNC000122)". The record is from RNAcentral. Lineage: Eukaryota; Viridiplantae; Streptophyta; Magnoliopsida; Poales; Poaceae.
CGGAAGGGAAUUUUGUUUUGCCAGUCCUCCUGUUGUCGUUUUCGGGAGGUUCCCAAAUAGGGAAGCUCAUCGCAGGUGACUGCUAUUUUCUUAUGCAUCCCUUUUCUAUGAGGUGGAUCUCGGUUUGUUGAUAGGAAUUCAGGGUGAAAAGGUUUGUCGUGGAAGAGAUGAAAAGAGUACUUAUUUUUCACCUCUCUUUUUUCAGGCAAGGUGCACGAUGUUUUAUCCUCUAAGUAUUUAGCUUAACGGAACUGAAGCAACGUAACAAGGACAACCUCUACCGGCCACUAAUUCUCCGGAGCUAUGUUUAGUUUUAGUUUUUCUUCACAUCCAACACUUAAAAGCGUCUGACCUCUGAAUGUUCGUUAUGCUCUGUUAUUAACCUUUCUUUCGCAAUUUUGUCUUAAAAGCUAAUUAUUAAAUAUCAUAUAUAAUUUAAAACAAAUAGAGUAUAUGCAAAUUUAUCUGGUUGCUUCUAUUCAUUGGCAAUAAUGUACUUUAACAAAUAUAUGCUAGUAAGCAACGCAAUGAAUAUAAUUUCAAAUAUAUGAUAGUCAUACUCUCAUAUAUUUUUCUCUCAUGUUAAGUUAUGAUUACAAUAUUUUUGCAAGAAAAAAAAAGCAAAUACGGAGAUACCUCUUGAGUUGCGAGACCUAUCCAACCUUACCAAAGGAGAGAAAACCUUCACUAAAAUCCAUUACUCAUAGUCAUAGCAUCAUCAUGCACGCAAGCACGUUGGAUCUGUCAUCCAUAGGGUGAACACCAAACCUUAGACCUCGUUUGGUUCUUUAGGAGCUCCUAAAAUUCCUGUCACAUCGAAAUGUUUAGAUACUAAUUAGAAAGUAUUAAACAUAGACUAAUUACAAAACCAAUUGCACAGAUGGAGGCUAAUUUGCGAGACGAAUCUAUUAAGCAUAAUUAGUCCAUGAUUUGACAAUGUGGUGUUACAGUAAACAUGUGCUAAUGAUGGACUAAUUAUGUUUAAUAGAUCCGUCUCGGGAAUUAGUCUCCAUCUUGUAAUUAUAAUUAGCUCAUAUUUAAUCCUCUAAUUAGCCUCCGAAUAUUCGAGGUGACAUGAAUUUUAUUCCGAACUAAAGAUCCAAACACCCCGUUACCACUCCCAAGAUCAACAUGCAUUGCAUGUAGUCGUGCCUUCCAUAGUUCCAUGCCGCAUCCUCUGCAUCAAGCCAGCCCAAACAAACCGCCCC